ACUUAUCCAUCCACGCCUCUCAUAUUGAGGUAAGAAUAUAAUAAAGUUACCAUGCCCCCUCUAAUAGGCUAGUCCGCGGAACCCGUCCACUGCAGCAACUAAUGAAUAACCCACCAAUUUAAUAAAAUUUAAUGGCAUGACAUGGCAAUUUUAUCAUUAUCCAGCCUAUCAAGGCAAACAACAAUUUAUACAUUUUCAACAUAAAUACCAAUUCAACCAUUCAUGCCAAUAUUAUCAUAAGCCAUUCAAUUCAAACCAUGAUAUAUAACACAGCAAUUAGUCUCCAAUUACUCCAUUUUCAAAACCAUCAUUCAAUUUCAAGACAAUUUAUAUAAUCAUUUCAUUUAAACACAUUUUGUUUAUAAAACCUAAAGAUUUACCAUUCAAACACAUUUUUCUAUAAAAUCACAAAAACGAAUAAAAACUACUAUAGAUAAUUAAGACGAUAGUAAGGUUACUCACUAUUUCGGGAGUCAAAUUUCGAGUACUCCGAUUCUUGAUCCUCGGGUACUAUCUCUUUACUUUUGCCAGAAUGCUCACCACCUAGAUAUAAUGCACAAUAAACCAUUUGUUACAUUUGUGCUAAAUUGUUAUAAAACCAAUUCAAGCUCUAUACUAACACAUGAAAUGGGAUGUGAAAUACUUAGGUAACUAUCUAAAUACGGUGUUCAUUAUAAAUUCAAUUAUAUACCUAAAUAAAACGGCAUUGGCUUAAUUCGAUCUAUCACCCGAUUAAUUGGCCAAUACGUCCAAUUCAACUCCAAAUAAUUCCAUUUUUCUCCCAAUAUUCCAAAUCAUCAAACACAAAUUAAAUAACUUGAAAUAUGACAAAAUCAUCCUCACAUUUUCUCUUGGAAAAUUCGGCCAUGGUGGGUGCAUCAACACUAUGAUUUUUCCUACUUGAUUCUCACACCAUAAAUCACUAAUUCCUAACUAAAUCACUUGAAAUAAAAUAAAAAAUCAUCCUCAAUAUUCCACAUGGAGAAUUCGGCCAAUGAUGGGUGAUGGAAGAACAUGAAUUUUUCUUGCCUGAUUUUCAUGCUACACAUCACGAAUCAACUAAAAACACUAAAAUACAUUUAAAUCUAACCAAAUCAAGCAUCAAAACCUCUCUCUAAGUGUUCAACUAGCAAGAUACCUGCCAUGAAAUCAUGUGAUUCAACCAUGGAAAAUGCAAAAGAAUGUAUGGGAAAGGUAGAUCACAAGUCAAAAUCAAGAAAUUUUACCUUUGAUUGCUUGAUUACUUGAAAUCCACCAAUUUUCUCUUGAAUUUUCACCCUAGGGUUCUUGUUCUUUCUUUUCUUCCUUUGUUCUUG
RNAcentral lists this long non-coding RNA (1316 nucleotides) under Theobroma cacao (cacao). Its description in RNAcentral is "long non-coding RNA (TCAC_LNC001669)". Lineage: Eukaryota; Viridiplantae; Streptophyta; Magnoliopsida; Malvales; Malvaceae. The record is from RNAcentral.